RNA transcript from Osmerus eperlanus (European smelt), 4544 nucleotides. It is a transcript of the gene named cytosolic carboxypeptidase 2-like, with no coding region annotated. Lineage: Eukaryota; Metazoa; Chordata; Actinopteri; Osmeriformes; Osmeridae. The transcript has 21 exons. The record is from RefSeq and is a predicted model, not a curated record.
UAUAAACUCAGCCAAAUAACCAAGCCAUUUCAGACCAGCUCAAAUACGAAGCCGGACAUAGGAGGCCUCAAACAGCUUGAAUUAAGCAUGCUUUCAGUCUUGCGAGGAUAAAGUUAUAUCAAUUCACAGUGGAAGCAUAUAUAUCCACACGCCACUCCACCAGGAACACAGAUGAUGACAUGAAAGUCCAAGUCGGUGGGCUUUUGCCCUGCUCGCCCAACUAUUCAUCUUUUGAUGAAGACGAGGGGGAGGAGAAAGUAGUGAAGGAGUUUGACGUGGAGGACCAUUCUCACAGGAAUAAUGAUGUGGCUGCUAUGCUUCCAUUACCCAGAACCAACCAGGUGGUUUUUGAGUACUUGUCAGGAAGAGCUGUGCCUCGUCUCAAAGAGCCUCACCAUCUGUAUGGUUUGUCUGGCAAUGUGUCCCAGACACUGCCACGAUGGCCUCUUGAGUGUGAGGUAAUCUUAGGAGAAGUCUUUCAUGUUGAGUGGGCUCCUCCCUUCCCAGAGCGUCUGUGUGCCAAGGUCAACACAAGUUAUUUGCUGAGAUCUUCAGGAGAGAAGGAAGGCACCGUUGUAUACAACACACAAGGAGACAAGGAGAACUACUUUUCUGGCUCUCGUGUGGGUAGGGGCUGCCUGUCCUCUCUCUCCCCUGCAGCAGUGUCCCUCAAUGGGCCUGAUGACACCACUUUGCUGUUUGAAGGCCGGUUUGAGAGUGGCAAUCUGCUGAAAGCUAUGAAAGUUGGUGAAUUUGAUUAUGAGCUUUCUCUGAGGACCGACCUUUACACAGAGAAGCACACCCAGUGGUUUUACUUCCGGGUGCAAAACACCAGAGUAAGGGUGCAAUACCGCUUUACCAUUACCAACCUGCUGAAGGUGACAAGCCUCUAUGAAGAGGGCCAGCUUCCCCUGCUGUACUCAGUGGAGAAAGCCAGGCUCCAGGGAGUGGGCUGGCACAGAGUGGGUCAAGAAGUAUCCUACUACCGCAAUGGCCGCCAGCAUUCAGGUCAGCCCUGCUACUCCCUAGCCUGGACUUUCUUCUUCCCCUAUGACCAGGACACCUGCUACUUUGCCCACUGCUACCCCUACACCUAUUCCAAUCUGUGGACCUACUUAUCAGAGAUCGAGCGCGACCCCCGACGCUCAAGCUUCUGUAAGGUUCGGACCCUGUGUCGCUCCCUCGCAGGGAACCUAGUUCCUGUGCUGACAGUGACCAAUCCGUCCAAGAAAGUGGAAAAGGAUGGCACAAAUAAGCCCGCUGUAGUUCUAACGGCACGCAUCCACCCUGGAGAGACGAACAGCUCGUGGGUGAUGAAGGGAAUCCUCAACUUUUUACUGGGGGACUCGCCGGAUGCCACUGUGCUCAGAAACGCCUUUGUAUUCAAGCUGGUACCCAUGCUGAAUCCAGACGGUGUCAUAGUGGGGAACUACCGCUGUUCCCUGACAGGCAGGGACCUGAACCGCAACUACAAAUCCAUCCUGAGGGACUCCUUUCCCACCGUAUGUGCUACACGCACCAUGAUCCAGAGAUUGUCUGAGGAACGUAAAGUGCUGUUAUACUGUGACCUCCACGGACACAGUCGUAAACAGAACGUCUUCAUCUACGGCUGUGAGGACCCCCGUCUGACUGACAGGCAUCCACAUGAACGUGUUUUCCCACUGAUGCUAAGCAAAAACUGCCCAGACAUGUUCACUUUCCAGAGCUGUAAGUUCAAGGUGCAGCGCAGUAAGGAGGGGACAGGCAGGGUGGCUUUCUGGAGGCUGGGUGUCCUCAAUAGCUUCACCCUAGAAACUUCCUUCUGUGGCUCCAGCAUUGGGAAGAAAAAGGGAACCCAUUUCAGCACUAAGGACCUACAGAUGUUGGGGGCUCACUUCUGUGACACAAUACUGGACUAUUGUGACCCCAACAGGACCAAGUACAGUGUGUGUGUGAGAGAGCUGCAGGAGAUGGUGAGACAACAAGCUGGCUUGUCUGUGGACACUGAGCCUACAGAUUCUUCACUAUGUGAUGUCAGCACCAGUGGCUCCAACAGCUCAGAUUCUGAUGGGCCUCCAGUACAUCGUCAAACUUUCAGUAAGCUAUCGACUCUUAAGAAGCUGAAGUCCAAAAAGGAGAGGAACAUGUCAAAUCUUUUGCAAGGUCGAGAGAUACAAGAGAAAAGGGAGAAUGAUGUCAAAGAUACCCUGGAGAAAGGCAAUGGAUUAAAGCCUCUCAAGGCUUCUACUGUGAGACUAUCAAAAUGGAAGGACAGACAACUGCCCGUUCUGGAGUCUAGCCACCCAGACAAGAAGGUGUCAGUACUCUACCUAGUCUUUAAUACUGAUAGGAGUGCCAUGACAUCAAAGUCUGAAUAUCUACAGCACAUAAUGGAGGAUUAUGUAAGGAGCCGGAUGCAGUUAACUUCCGGACAGACCUUCAAUGGCUAUGACUGUGGGGUUAUGAACAGCCCUCGUACUUCAAGACUGCCCCCUCAUUGUGUGCCCUCCUACCUACGGCCCACAUUGCCCCCCUCACAGCUGCCACGGGAUCGCCGAGCUAGACCCAGGAGACUGCCAGGCCUGGCUGAGUUUGCUGCAGGAGACAAGACCAUUGGAAAACUAUCCCCAGUCCAAUGGAGAAGCCCCAAAUCAUUCACAGCCCGUGAAAAUCUACAGCUGAAGUCCAUCAGAUUGGAGCCAUCCUCAGAGUCUGAGAGUGAGACCGUCCCUGUGGAGGUGGCUGUUGGUGGUAGGUCAAUUGAGAUGGAAUGGCUCUUUCUACCCUCAUGCCCUUUAUUUGACCAUGUUGAUGGCUGUUUCCAAAGACUAAAACACAAAAAGAAGAAGAGCAAAACGGGAAAAUCUAAAGGAAACUGAUUUUUGAAACGCCUACACAAAAACAGACUGAAAACCCCCCAGAAUCUGUGAGAUAACACUGUUUACUGCUUUAACAUUAGGACUAUCAAAAUGUGAAAUCACUGUAAAAAUGAUAGUACAUAAGUAUUCAACUUGUUUUGUGGUUAUGUCAAGACAAUGUUUCAUCAACAAAAGAUUGCCAUAAUGUUUUCAACACAUGUACAGUUGCUUCACAAAUGUACAUAAAAACAAUCCUCCCUGCUAAACUGUUAUCAGCAGUUUCUGGUCUACUAACUCAGUGAGGCCAGCUGAGCCCUGCUGCUAGGGGCUGUCCUCUAGAAGAUCUCUGUGACACUGAUGACCUGCGGCUGCACUCUGUUCCUGUUACAGUUAAAGAGCCAGACUGCCCUCCGGUGGCGGUAGCGCUUAGAGAGAAGUACAUACAGCACAGGGUUGACACAGGGGUGCAGGUACUGGAGCACAGUGCAGGUGAAGUAAAACAUCUCCCAGGCUUGGCCGUGGUGGUACAGCCCCAAAUAAACGCACAGCUCCAGCACGUAGCCUGGGAGCCAGCACACAGAGAAGGUUCCUGCCGCCAGGAACACCAUUAGGGAGGCACGCCGGGUGUUCCUGGCACUUGCUACGGACAUGACUGGACUCUUAUGAAGGAAGACAGCUAGGCGAACAUAGUUGAAGGCGAUGACCAGCAUUGGGACAAAGUAAUAGAGCACAAAUUGGCUGAGGAUAACCUGGUAGUGGUGCUCUUGUAUGGUAGGCAGGCAGAAGGUAAAGUUGACCUGCCCAGGGCCCAGGCUCUCCUUAGUGGCAAAUAUACGCAGGGGCAAGCUGAUGAAGAAACUGAGGGCCCAGACCAGGAUGAACAUCAGGACGACCAGGUCCAUGGUAGGCGGGUGGUAUGGGUUGGUGAUGAUCAUGGCGCGGGUCAUGGACACGGCACACAGGGAGUAGGUGCUCGCUGCCAGAGAAAAGGCCAUGAGAAACUGGUAGACCUUACAGGAAGUAUCCCCCAGGGGCCAGGAGUGGCUUACGGCAGAAUCCAGAGUGAAGGGGAUGAGCAGCAGGGUGAGGAAGUCAGCCAGAGCCAUGCUCAGAAGCAGGAUGUCGAGACGGUUCUUACGAAGGGUGUUGUAUUUGGCAAACAGGGAGAAGACCAGUAAGUUGGCACAGAAGCCGACGCCCAGGAUCACCCCACACAAAGUUGGACAAUGGUCUCGUGCAAUGUCCAUGGCUUCAGACUCAAACGGCUGGGAUUUCAAAGGAUAGAACUUUGCUGAAUGUAGGGGAGAGAAAGGCAAACAUCACUCAGGUCAGAUUGAUUAUGCUUGACUGGAUUUAAAGAGACCAUACCCAUAUCUAGAAUAGUUUUAAACAUUAUUUAAGAGAUUCAAUCCAUUACAUAAAUUAAAUAAGUCAGUAUGUACAUAUUUUAAUGCUUAUUGCAUUGUGUCUACACCAUUCUGAGUGUGCAUCAUUCUGAGCUAUAUAAUGAUCUUUUAAACUACCUGAAUCACAUUCAGUAGCUUGAAUUUCAAUGCCAAACUAAAGGAAGAGAUCUUAGUUGUACACUCCAAUGACUAAUCCUUAGCCUUUUUUACUUUUAGUUUGUGAGACUUACUUGGAAAAUGUUUGCUCUUAACAGGAGUGCAUAUUUUAGUGUCAUAUUUAAUUUUAUCUUUAUAAAUGUGU